CUUAUAAAAUGCUCUUUUGUAGCCUCACGCCUGACUGUUUAGAUAUUCUCUUUAUAUAUGUAUACAUAAAUAAGUCAUUGCAAGCUGAAUUGUGCCCAGUUUCUGGCCCUGCACAGACUUUGCCACACACACUCCGAGAGAGAGAGAGAGGGAAAAAGCAGCGACGUGAACGAGCAGCCUCGGCGCCUGGCAUCGUUUGCAAUAACGUGUCGCAUCUUUUUCUAAAAAAAACUAAGGUUGAGAAAUUUAGGAUUGACUCCAAGUGCAGGAGCAAUGAGGAGAGAACUGACAUAACAGGAGCUGUCACACCUAGGUCUGAAUAGUGGAGAAGAGAAGAACUUGGACCCAGCAGACAGUACGAUGCUGUUUUAAUGUCACAAGAGGAGCAGCUCCAGACCAGAGCAGCUGGACCUACUUUCCACCUCUCUCUCUCCCUGAAAAGUCUCAUCACGAGAAAGAAUCUCAAACUUUAUCUGCCAAAUUGAAUUUGGUAUCUUUGACUACCACCCAUCAGAACCACAGCUCCCAGGAAAAGAACUGUGAUAAGAUCAGCCACUUGCAGACUCCAAAUUGUGUAUUGACUCACUGGACACUGUUGCAUAAACUGAUUUCAACAUCUUUGUAUUUUUAAGAAGCUCUUUGGAACUUCCCUUAUUUUAUCUUUCUACCUUGUAUGACUGCAUGUGAAUGAAGCAGCGAAGCAGUUCUUUGAGUUUUGAAUGUUUUGUUAAUAAAUAAACCCAACCUUGGUUUUCAUUUUA
This is a long non-coding RNA of Rhincodon typus (whale shark), 761 nucleotides long. RefSeq lists it as uncharacterized. Lineage: Eukaryota; Metazoa; Chordata; Chondrichthyes; Orectolobiformes; Rhincodontidae. The record is from RefSeq and is a predicted model, not a curated record. The transcript has 3 exons.